Molecule: non-coding RNA, 274 nt
Organism: Oncorhynchus mykiss (rainbow trout)
Lineage: Eukaryota; Metazoa; Chordata; Actinopteri; Salmoniformes; Salmonidae
Source: RefSeq, a predicted model, not a curated record
CAAUUGAUAGUUGUAGUAAUUGGUAAUAAGCAGUCUUGAAAGUAUGCCCUAUGUACUUUAAAGAACUAGUAAAAUUGUUUUAUCAGAGAGCUCUUCAGCAUACUUAGGCAGCUACUAGCUAGCUACUAGCCUAGCUAAAUAGGAUGACUCAAAGACGAUCUGCCCAGUUUGGAUAGAGAUGUAAGAACUAUGACAAUGAAUAGCAUUUGGCCCACCAGAAGGGUGGGAUCACUGCAGUCAUCAUGAAACACAGUACAGAAUGGUCCCAUGUGCU